CACGUAGGGUGCGAGCGUUGUCCGGAAUUAUUGGGCGUAAAGAGCUCGUAGGCGGUGUGUCGCGUCGGCCGUGAAAACCUGCAGCUUAACUGUGGGCUUGCGGUCGAUACGGGCAUCACUGGAGUUCGGCAGGGGAGACUGGAAUUCCCGGUGUAGCGGUGAAAUGUGUAGAGAUCGGGAGGAACGCCGGUGGCGAAGGCGGGUCUCUGGGCAACUCCUGACGCUGAGGCGCGAAAGCGUGGGGAGCAAACGGG
Molecule: ribosomal RNA, 254 nt
Filed under: uncultured bacterium
Lineage: Bacteria
Description: partial 16S ribosomal RNA
Rfam family: Bacterial small subunit ribosomal RNA
Source: RNAcentral